Molecule: non-coding RNA, 376 nt
Organism: Pelobates cultripes (western spadefoot toad)
Lineage: Eukaryota; Metazoa; Chordata; Amphibia; Anura; Pelobatidae
Source: the annotation of a GenBank genome assembly
CUCACACACACAGCACCCUCACACACUGCAUCCCUCACACACUGCACCCCUCACACACUGCACCCCUCACACACCCUACACAUCUCACUCACACACUGCACACCUCACUCACACACAGCACACACACUGCACUCUCACACACACUGCACCCUCACACACACUUCACCCAUUUCACACACACACAUCACCCCUUUUGCACACACACAGCAUCCCUCACACUCACACACAGUGCAUCCCUCUAACACACAGUGCACCCCUCUCACAAACAGUGCACCCCUCACACACACACUGCACACCUCACACAUACACACUGCACACAAACAUAUAUGUAUAUAUCCUACAGAAUCCCUCACACACAUACUGCACCCCUAAACAC